GUAACGGCGAGUGAAGCGGCAACAGCUCAAAUUUGAAAUCUGGUCACCUUACGGAGGCCCGAGUUGUAAUUUGAAGAGGAUGCUUUUGGCGAGGUGCCUUCCGAGUGCCCUGGAACGGGACGCCACAGAGGGUGAGAGCCCCGUAUGGUUGGACACCGAGCCUAUGUAAAGCUCCUUCGACGAGUCGAGUAGUUUGGGAAUGCUGCUCAAAAUGGGAGGUAAACCCCUUCUAAAGCUAAAUAUUGGCCAGAGACCGAUAGCGCACAAGUAGAGUGAUCGAAAGAUGAAAAGCACUUUGAAAAGAGAGUUAAACAGCACGUGAAAUUGUUGAAAGGGAAGCGCUUGCGACCAGACUUGCGCCCGUCGGAUCAACCGUCGCUUGUCGGCGGCGCACUCCGGCGGGCUCAGGCCAGCAUCAGUUUUCCCGGGGGGAGAAAGGCGGUGGGAAUGUAGCUCCUAGGAGUGUUAUAGCCCGCCGCGUAAUACCCUCGGGGGGACUGAGGACCGCGCAUCUGCAAG
This 519-nucleotide ribosomal RNA is filed under the name uncultured Doratomyces. RNAcentral's name for it is "eukaryotic LSU rRNA". It matches the Rfam family "Eukaryotic large subunit ribosomal RNA", at positions 83 to 609 of the family's 3401-position model. Lineage: Eukaryota; Fungi; Ascomycota; Sordariomycetes; Microascales. The record is from RNAcentral.